AAGAUCAUACUUCAUAGGAUCAUUUCUAUAGUAUGAUUAGCGAGUUCACUCACCGAACUUCGCAAAAAUCCCAACCACGAUGAUGUGAGAAGGGGUUUCUUUUUGAGCGUGAAGCGGACUCUGUUGAAAGCUUAGGCUUACAUUGAGUCGUUGAUGAUCGCACCUUUCGCUAUUGUAGCGAAGGGAAGGAAGGAACUCUUUCUGAGUGGU
RNAcentral lists this small nucleolar RNA (210 nucleotides) under Stegodyphus mimosarum. RNAcentral describes it as "small nucleolar RNA U3". It matches the Rfam family "Small nucleolar RNA U3". From Rfam's summary of the family: Small nucleolar RNAs (snoRNAs) are involved in the processing and modification of rRNA in the nucleolus. Lineage: Eukaryota; Metazoa; Arthropoda; Arachnida; Araneae; Eresidae. The record is from Rfam by way of RNAcentral.